This 559-nucleotide ribosomal RNA is filed under the name Pantoea sp. EECC-115. RNAcentral's name for it is "bacterial SSU rRNA". It matches the Rfam family "Bacterial small subunit ribosomal RNA", at positions 84 to 639 of the family's 1533-position model. The record is from RNAcentral. Lineage: Bacteria; Pseudomonadati; Pseudomonadota; Gammaproteobacteria; Enterobacterales; Erwiniaceae.
CUUGGGUGAGAGUGGCGGACGGGUGAGUAAUGUCUGGGGAUCUGCCCGAUAGAGGGGGAUAACCACUGGAAACGGUGGCUAAUACCGCAUAACGUCGCAAGACCAAAGAGGGGGACCUUCGGGCCUCUCACUAUCGGAUGAACCCAGAUGGGAUUAGCUAGUAGGCGGGGUAAUGGCCCACCUAGGCGACGAUCCCUAGCUGGUCUGAGAGGAUGACCAGCCACACUGGAACUGAGACACGGUCCAGACUCCUACGGGAGGCAGCAGUGGGGAAUAUUGCACAAUGGGCGCAAGCCUGAUGCAGCCAUGCCGCGUGUAUGAAGAAGGCCUUCGGGUUGUAAAGUACUUUCAGCGGGGAGGAAGGCGAUGGGGUUAAUAACCUUAUCGAUUGACGUUACCCGCAGAAGAAGCACCGGCUAACUCCGUGCCAGCAGCCGCGGUAAUACGGAGGGUGCAAGCGUUAAUCGGAAUUACUGGGCGUAAAGCGCACGCAGGCGGUCUGUUAAGUCAGAUGUGAAAUCCCCGGGCUUAACCUGGGAACUGCAUUUGAAACUGGCAG